GACGAACGCUGGCGGCGUGGAUUAGGCAUGCAAGUCGGACGGUAGGGCUUUAUCGUAAGAUAGAGUUUGAGAGUGGCGAACGGGUGAGUAACACGUAGGAAUCUACCCUUAAGACGGGGGACAACCCAGGGAAACUUGGGCUAAUACCGGAUGAGAGUGCGAGAGAUUGCAUUUAAAAAGGAUGGCGAAAAGUUGUCGCUUAGGGAUGAGCCUGCGGUCUAUUAGUUAGUUGGUGAGGUAAGAGCUCACCAAGGCGAUGAUAGAUAGGCGGCCUUAACGGGUGGUCGCCCACACUGGGAUUGAGAUACGGCCCAGACUCCUACGGGAGGCAGCAGUCGAGAAUAGUCUACAAUGGCCGGAAGGCUGAUAGUGCGACGCCGCGUGAACGAGGGAGCCCUUCGGGGUGUAAAGCACUUUUUGGAAGGAAUAGGAAGGAAUGUACUUCCAGAAUAAGUCUCGGCUAACUACGUGCCAGCAGCCGCGGUAAAGUCACGUCG
This 497-nucleotide ribosomal RNA is filed under the name uncultured bacterium. RNAcentral's name for it is "bacterial SSU rRNA". It matches the Rfam family "Bacterial small subunit ribosomal RNA", at positions 28 to 530 of the family's 1533-position model. The record is from RNAcentral.